Molecule: ribosomal RNA, 253 nt
Filed under: uncultured bacterium
Lineage: Bacteria
Description: partial 16S ribosomal RNA
Rfam family: Bacterial small subunit ribosomal RNA
Source: RNAcentral
UACAUGGGGUGCAAACGUUGCUCGGAAUUAUUGGGCGUAAAGCGCGCGUAGGCGGUUAUUCAAGUCGGAUGUGAAAGCCCUCGGCUUAACUGAGGAAGUGCACCCGAAACUGAGUAGCUAGAGUACCAAAGAGGGUCGCGGAAUUCCCGGUGUAGAGGUGAAAUUCGUAGAUAUCGGGAGGAACACCGGUGGCGAAGGCGGCGACCUGGGUGGAUACUGACGCUGAGGCGCGAAAGCGUGGGGAGCAAACAGG